RNAcentral lists this ribosomal RNA (254 nucleotides) under uncultured bacterium. RNAcentral's name for it is "partial 16S ribosomal RNA". It matches the Rfam family "Bacterial small subunit ribosomal RNA", at positions 524 to 777 of the family's 1533-position model. The record is from RNAcentral.
GACGUAGGGUGCAAGCGUUGUCCGGAAUUAUUGGGCGUAAAGAGUUCGUAGGCGGCGAUUUAAGUCUGGUGUUAAAGGCUGAAGCUCAACUUCAGUAUGGCAUUGGAAACUGGAUUGCUAGAGUGCGGUAGAGGUAUCGGGAAUUCCAGGUGUAGCGGUGAAAUGCGUAGAUAUCUGGAGGAACACCAGUGGCGAAAGCGCGAUACUGGGCCGUAACUGACGCUGAGGAACGAAAGCCUGGGUAGCGAAAGGGG